Polyodon spathula (Mississippi paddlefish) is the source of this 1344-nucleotide long non-coding RNA. RefSeq lists it as uncharacterized. Lineage: Eukaryota; Metazoa; Chordata; Actinopteri; Acipenseriformes; Polyodontidae. The transcript is spliced from 4 exons. The record is from RefSeq and is a predicted model, not a curated record.
UCAAGUACAUUGUUCUGUGUGUGGGGGAACAGCUAGUUUUGUUAGCCACAGUGAAGUGAAACUGGGAGAUGUGUAUCCAUAUUCUCUGCCCUCCCUCCUUUUUUAUGUAGGUUUGAAUCCUGAAGUGAAGAUCCAUUAAAUUCUGUCUUCUGGGACCAUGGACAUAUUUUUUUUUAGUCUGAACAUCCGAUGAGAAAAAUAACAUGAAGAAUUUCUGAUACCUGAAACAGGAAGCAGCGGGGUACAAUUGGAUUGGAAAUGGCAUUGUGUGAAUUCAUGACUACUACUUCUUUAUCAAACCCUGGUUCCCUGAAGAUAGCAGACCAAGGACUUGAGGAGUAGCUGUGGAAUAUAUAAAUAUAUAAAUGGUCAUUUGAACACCCAGUUGUGUGAAAGGCAUUGUCAAGGUAAGUACUGUAAUCGGAAACAGCUUUCUCAAUUUAGCACCGAGUCUGUCCCACAAUAGCAGUCAUUCCGAUUGGAUGUGCAGCUAGUCCCAUACCUAUACAAACAGAAUGUUGUAAGUGAGUCAUUCUACACGUUUAAUCAAAUCUGAAACUGUUAGGCUACCAAGUAGCUUCAGCCCUGCAAUAUAAAUCAUGAACUGUUUAAUAUAAAUAUUUAUGUGCUUGGCCCCUGAGUCAAUGGAGAAAAAAAGGUCAGUAAAUUUCACAAAAGUAACAAAGCAAAAACAAAUUGAAUUAUAGUGGUAUGUUGAUAAUGAUUGCAUAGAAAUGUGGUCAGAUGCUUGCAUUGUUACAGCUUGUAAAAGUAACUGAAAGCUCUGGAGCAAGUGUUUCCUGUUUGUGUCAUGGUCCACACCAGCAUGUUGAGUUUUGUAUUUUUUUUAAAACUAAUUAUAGCAGUUUUCUUCAAAACAUAAGUCAGAAACAGUAGCUAGUGCUGCUUUGUGUCAGCAGGCACAGAUUUAUCACAGCUGAGUAACUCCUGUACACUGGAAGCCAGAUUUUUUUCUGUUUCAAAAACAAAAGGUAGCACAUAAAGUAGCUCUUAAAUGUAUGUAUUUAUUUAAAGUCUGGUAUAAAGCACUUAUAAGCUUAUUAAACCAGUCAAUUUAUUCUUCUAUUUCUAUUUUGAAUUGAGGUUCAUAAUUGUGAUCAUAACCUUAUCAGGACAGUCACUUGAGGUAAGAAAACCAGGCUCAUUCAGAAGGAGCAUGCUUCUGACUUGUAUAGGCAUGUGUAAACUUGAAGUGGAAAGAUUUUAUCUGAAAGCCAUGGCAACACACCAGACUUUAUGUCUGUAUGGGUCAAACCUGUAGGGGUCAGAUCAGUUUAGUAUUCACUACAGACUAUAAAGAGGUGUGGAAUAAAGGGAAAUGAC